RNAcentral lists this ribosomal RNA (492 nucleotides) under uncultured bacterium. Its description in RNAcentral is "partial 16S ribosomal RNA". It matches the Rfam family "Bacterial small subunit ribosomal RNA", at positions 29 to 507 of the family's 1533-position model. The record is from RNAcentral.
AGUGAACGCUGGCGGUAGGCCUAACACAUGCAAGUCGAACGGCAGCACAGUAAGAGCUUGCUCUUACGGGUGGCGAGUGGCGGACGGGUGAGGAAUACAUCGGAAUCUACUUUUUCGUGGGGGAUAACGUAGGGAAACUUACGCUAAUACCGCAUACGACCUACGGGUGAAAGCAGGGGAUCUUCGGACCUUGCGCGAUUGAAUGAGCCGAUGUCGGAUUAGCUAGUUGGCGGGGUAAAGGCCCACCAAGGCGACGAUCCGUAGCUGGUCUGAGAGGAUGAUCAGCGACACUGGAACUGAGACACGGUCCAGACUCCUACGGGAGGCAGCAGUGGGGAAUAUUGGACAAUGGGCGCAAGCCUGAUCCAGCCAUACCGCGUGGGUGAAGAAGGCCUUCGGGUUGUAAAGCCCUUUUGUUGGGAAAGAAAAGCAGCAGGUUAAUACCCAGCUGUUCUGACGGUACCCAAAGAAUAAGCACCGGCUAACUUCGUG